UUUAUGGAGAGUUUGAUCCUGGCUCAGAGUGAACGCUGGCGGCGUGCCUAAUACAUGCAAGUCGAACGAUGAAGCUUCUAGCUUGCUAGAAGUGGAUUAGUGGCGCACGGGUGAGUAAGGUAUAGUUAAUCUGCCCUACACAAGAGGACAACAGUUGGAAACGACUGCUAAUACUCUAUACUCCUGCUUAACACAAGUUGAGUAGGGAAAGUUUUUCGGUGUAGGAUGAGACUAUAUAGUAUCAGCUAGUUGGUAAGGUAAUGGCUUACCAAGGCUAUGACGCUUAACUGGUCUGAGAGGAUGAUCAGUCACACUGGAACUGAGACACGGUCCAGACUCCUACGGGAGGCAGCAGUAGGGAAUAUUGCGCAAUGGGGGAAACCCUGACGCAGCAACGCCGCGUGGAGGAUGACACUUUUCGGAGCGUAAACUCCUUUUCUUAGGGAAGAAUUCUGACGGUACCUAAGGAAUAAGCACCGGCUAACUCCGUGCCAGCAGCCGCGGUAAUACGGAGGGUG
This 518-nucleotide ribosomal RNA is filed under the name Campylobacter coli. Its description in RNAcentral is "bacterial SSU rRNA". It matches the Rfam family "Bacterial small subunit ribosomal RNA", at positions 1 to 534 of the family's 1533-position model. The record is from RNAcentral. RNAcentral also lists the same sequence under 1 other name. Lineage: Bacteria; Pseudomonadati; Campylobacterota; Epsilonproteobacteria; Campylobacterales; Campylobacteraceae.